GGGAGGAGGCUCUUGGGUUGUAAACCUCUUUUCUCAGGGAAGAAGCUCUGACGGUACCUGAGGAAUCAGCCUCGGCUAACUCCGUGCCAGCAGCCGCGGUAAUACGGAGGAGGCAAGCGUUAUCCGGAAUUAUUGGGCGUAAAGCGUCCGCAGGUGGCGAUUCAAGUCUGCUGUCAAAGCACGGGGCUUAACUCCGUUAAGGCAGUGGAAACUGAAUAGCUAGAGUGCCGUAGGGGUAGAGGGAAUUCCCGGUGUAGCGGUGAAAUGCGUAGAGAUCGGGAAGAACAUCGGUGGCGAAAGCGCUCUACUGGACGGCAACUGACACUCAGGGACGAAAGCUAGGGGAGCGAAUGGGAUUAGAUACCCCAGUAGUCAA
Molecule: ribosomal RNA, 376 nt
Filed under: uncultured Microcoleus sp.
Lineage: Bacteria; Bacillati; Cyanobacteriota; Cyanophyceae; Oscillatoriales; Microcoleaceae
Description: bacterial SSU rRNA
Rfam family: Bacterial small subunit ribosomal RNA
Source: RNAcentral